This 429-nucleotide ribosomal RNA is filed under the name Actinomycetes bacterium. RNAcentral's name for it is "Actinobacteria bacterium partial 16S ribosomal RNA". It matches the Rfam family "Bacterial small subunit ribosomal RNA", at positions 355 to 776 of the family's 1533-position model. Lineage: Bacteria; Bacillati; Actinomycetota; Actinomycetes. The record is from RNAcentral.
UAGGGAAUCUUCCGCAAUGGGCGAAAGCCUGACGGAGCAACGCCGCGUGAGUGAUGAAGGUCUUCGGAUCGUAAAACUCUGUUAUUAGGGAAGAACAAAUGUGUAAGUAACUAUGCACGUCUUGACGGUACCUAAUCAGAAAGCCACGGCUAACUACGUGCCAGCAGCCGCGGUAAUACGUAGGUGGCAAGCGUUAUCCGGAAUUAUUGGGCGUAAAGCGCGCGUAGGCGGUUUUUUAAGUCUGAUGUGAAAGCCCACGGAUCAACCGUGGAGGGUCAUUGGAAACUGGAAAACUUGAGUGCAGAAGAGGAAAGUGGAAUUCCAUGUGUAGCGGUGAAAUGCGCAGAGAUAUGGAGGAACACCAGUGGCGAAGGCGACUUUCUGGUCUGUAACUGACGCUGAUGUGCGAAAGCGUGGGGAUCAAACAGG